GACGAACGCUGGCGGCGUGCUUAACACAUGCAAGUCGAACGGAAAGGCCCAGCUUGCUGGGUGCUCGAGUGGCGAACGGGUGAGUAACACGUGGGUGAUCUGCCCCUAACUUCGGGAUAAGCUUGGGAAACUGGGUCUAAUACCGGAUAGGACAAUCGUUUAGUGUCGGUUGUGGAAAGUUUUUUCGGUUAGGGAUGAGCCCGCGGCCUAUCAGCUUGUUGGUGGGGUAAUGGCCUACCAAGGCGUCGACGGGUAGCCGGCCUGAGAGGGUGGACGGCCACAUUGGGACUGAGAUACGGCCCAGACUCCUACGGGAGGCAGCAGUGGGGAAUAUUGCACAAUGGGAGCAAGCCUGAUGCAGCGACGCCGCGUGGGGGAUGACGGCCUUCGGGUUGUAAACCUCUUUCGACGGGGACGAAGCUUUGGUGACGGUACCUGUAUAAGAAGCACCGGCUAACUACGUG
This 464-nucleotide ribosomal RNA is filed under the name uncultured bacterium. Its description in RNAcentral is "partial 16S ribosomal RNA". It matches the Rfam family "Bacterial small subunit ribosomal RNA", at positions 28 to 507 of the family's 1533-position model. The record is from RNAcentral.